RNAcentral lists this unclassified non-coding RNA (214 nucleotides) under Hevea brasiliensis (rubber tree). The record is from RNAcentral. Lineage: Eukaryota; Viridiplantae; Streptophyta; Magnoliopsida; Malpighiales; Euphorbiaceae.
GUGAUAUUCAAGUUUCAUGUUUUACUAAAUAGAAUUCAAUUUCCCUUAAGUUUGGAGAAUAAUGUUUUUCAUGAUUUUCAUCUGAAAUAUUGCAACACAUUGAGGUUGGAGGCCAUCACAUUUGCAUAUUGGAAUUCUUACUGUGACUAAUAUUUUGGAUCAUUCUCGCCAUAAUCCCUUGAUAUUUCUGCAGGGACAUUUGGGCAAGUCUUGG